GACGAACGCUGGCGGCGUGCCUAAUACAUGCAAGUAGAACGCUGAAGGAGGAGCUUGCUCUUCUGGAUGAGUUGCGAACGGGUGAGUAACGCGUAGGUAACCUGCCUGGUAGCGGGGGAUAACUAUUGGAAACGAUAGCUAAUACCGCAUAAGAGUAGAUGUUGCAUGACAUUUACUUAAAAGGUGCAAUUGCAUCACUACCAGAUGGACCUGCGUUGUAUUAGCUAGUUGGUGGGGUAACGGCUUACCAAGGCGACGAUACAUAGCCGACCUGAGAGGGUGAUCGGCCACACUGGGACUGAGACACGGCCCAGACUCCUACGGGAGGCAGCAGUAGGGAAUCUUCGGCAAUGGACGGAAGUCUGACCGAGCAACGCUGCGUGAGUGAAGAAGGUUUUCGGAUCGUAAAGCUCUGUUGUAAGAGAAGAACGAGUGUGAGAGUGGAAAGUUCACACUGUGACGGUAUCUUACCAGAAAGAGACGGCUAACUACGUG
RNAcentral lists this ribosomal RNA (495 nucleotides) under uncultured bacterium. RNAcentral's name for it is "partial 16S ribosomal RNA". It matches the Rfam family "Bacterial small subunit ribosomal RNA", at positions 28 to 507 of the family's 1533-position model. The record is from RNAcentral.